This 119-nucleotide ribosomal RNA is filed under the name Pteropus alecto (black flying fox). Lineage: Eukaryota; Metazoa; Chordata; Mammalia; Chiroptera; Pteropodidae. The record is from RNAcentral.
GUCUACGGACAUGCCACCCUGAACAAGCCGGAUCCCAUCUGAUCUCAGAAGCUAAGCAGAGUGGAGCCUGGUUAGUAGUUGGAUGUGGGACCAUCUAGGAAGACCAGGUGCUGUAGGCA